UCCAACUCGGUGAUCAGGACUGAACACAGACGAGUCACCAUGGAGUUUGGACUGAGCUGGGUUUUCCUUCUUGCUUUAUUAAAAGGUGUCCAGUGUGAAGUGCAGCUGGUGGAGUCCGGGGGAGGCUUGGUGAAGCCUGGGGGUUCUCUGAGACUCACCUGUGUCGCCUCUGGAUUCACCUUUGGUCACUACGGCAUGCACUGUGUCCGCCAGGCUCCAGGGAAGGGGUGGAGUGGGUCUCAGCCAUUAGCGGGAACGGUGGUAGCACAUACUACGCAGACUCCGUGAAGGGCCGAUUCACCAUCUCCAGGGAUCACCAUCUCCAGGGAAAACACCAAGAACACAGUAUAUCUGCAAACUGAAAAUGCGAGAGCUGAGGACACGGCCACGUAUUACUGUGCAAGAGACACAAUCAUCCUGAAGAUUCUCCUCAUUUCUGUUUUGGAGCUAAUUUCACUCAUAGAAAAACAGCCGCACAGCCCAGUCACUGUGUGUCCCAAGGUCACACUCUUUGGCCCCAGAGAAGAAGCUUUUGUCCCUUCAUGGACACCUUCACUCAGACAGCUACCUCUUCCUCUCGUGGUCUCGAAUAGAUUUGAUCAUCAUAUACCCAACCCCACAUUAUCUGCUAAUGUGCAUCCUAUGUGUCAGUCCAUCCAUGGACACCCUGGAUAG
This is an RNA transcript of Galeopterus variegatus (Sunda flying lemur), 675 nucleotides long. It is a transcript of the gene named Ig heavy chain V-III region VH26-like, with no coding region annotated. NCBI's taxonomy places the organism in Eukaryota, Metazoa, Chordata, Mammalia, Dermoptera, Cynocephalidae. The transcript has 3 exons. The record is from RefSeq and is a predicted model, not a curated record.